RNAcentral lists this long non-coding RNA (1371 nucleotides) under Equus caballus (horse). RNAcentral describes it as "lncRNA (ENSECAG00000053956.1)". Lineage: Eukaryota; Metazoa; Chordata; Mammalia; Perissodactyla; Equidae. The record is from RNAcentral.
GUUGGUGGGAAGCAGCAGAAUUUCAUUUUGCUAUCCCCUGAUCCACUAAUGGCGUGGAAGUACCUCAGGCUGUCUUUGGGAGAAUGUCCCCGAAAAGCACAAUGCUGCUCAACAGGAGGGCACGGACAUCUCUGUGAAGGACAGGGAGGAGAAGAGAGAGAUCUCCAAAUCCGAGGGGAAUUCUGAGUGAGUGAGUGGCAGGGCCGGGAGCCAUGCCCGAGGGCCACGAGCCUGCAACUCCUUCUUCAUGCCAGAAGUCGCAGCGACCUGUCAUGCCUCCGGCCCUCAUGAGGCCACAGGGCCAGGCACACAUUCUCAGCCCCACCAGGGUAGUGCCAGCAGAGGACAAAGGCUCCCAUUCAGAGUGAACUGCUCCAGCCGCAGGCCCCGAGUGGCCCCUCUGAAGCUAAGCCACCUUCCUCCGUGCACCCCGCUGCCUCCCGCCCAAUUCCACCAGCUUCUCUGAAAUCAAUCAGGUCAAGGUCAAACGGCCAAGGUGAAGCCAAACCCAGGGAAGCAGAUUUAGAGAACUGAACAGACACCUCACUGCCAGCUCACAGUUGUGACUCAGCAGAAAUUCUGGAAUGAAGAGCCAGAUGUAAAUGUUUGUGGAAGAGAAGAGAAUAGAUGCUUGUGGAAUUGGCAGUGCAUGAACAAACGCCACACUGAUGAAGGAGUGAGCGAGUGGGUGAAAGGCUGGGCCCUUCGCUCUGCUGAGCGGCUCUGAGGAAACUUCCUUUAGAAUCUGAUAAAGUGAUUCUCAAGUUUAUUGGGAAGAAAAAAUGGCCAAGAACUGCCGAGAAAACUUGAAAAGAAUAAUAAGCAGCGAUUGGGACAAGGGAGUGCUUAUGCCACCAGGUAUCCAAAAGAAAUAUAAAACUAUUGCAAUUACAAAAAGUGCAAUGGGGGCUGGCCCAGUGAGGCAGUGGUUGUGUUCAUGCACUCCACUUCAGUGACCUGGGCUUUGCAGGUUAAGAUCCCAGGUGCAGACCUAGCACGACUUGUCAGGCCACGCUGUGGUGGCAUCCUACUUAAAACAGAGGAAGACUGGCACAGAUGGUAGCUCAGCGACAAUCUUCCUCACAAAAAAAAGAGAAAAAAGAAACAUUCAGUGGUAAACUGAACCAACGAUAUGAAUAGGGAAAAAAAAAAUAAACAGUAACCCUGGGGAAAAAAAUUCAACUCCACCAGUAAUCAAAGUGUGCAAAAUCAAAAUAGGCAGAUAUCAUGUGCACUCAUCAUACUCGCAAAGAGGAAAAAGAAUGUGAUGUGUUGUUGGUGAAUUUGUGCUAAAAUAUGCACUCACUGGUAUGUGACAUUUUGGUGCACCAUAAUAAACCAAUGAACGUCCAGAUUUUGAAAAUUACCAAG